CAGUUAUUCAGAUAUGAUAGGAACUUUCCAAGAAAUGGAGUUUUCAGAAUCAUCCAUUAUUUUCGACUGUAUUCUAGUCCAGCGACUCUAAAGAAGUCACGUCCCAUCGCACUCUUCCGAUCUGUCACGCUCUUCUUUGGUUUCUCGUUAUUUUUCCAAAGAACCAGUAGUUGAAAUAAUGAAUGGGAAUCAUCGAAAUCUGAUAGAAUGGUUUACUACUACAACUGACCGGAAGGGCGGUAUAGAGGCGCUUAAACACAAAUCGACAAUGGUUAAAAGCGUCCGCAGAAGGAAAAUAAAUGAGGACCUACAGGAAAUUGGUACUCUCACAUGAACUCUCCUCGGGUAAGUCCUGUUUGAAAAAU
This is a long non-coding RNA of Coccinella septempunctata (seven-spotted ladybird), 365 nucleotides long. RefSeq lists it as uncharacterized. The transcript has 3 exons. The record is from RefSeq and is a predicted model, not a curated record. Lineage: Eukaryota; Metazoa; Arthropoda; Insecta; Coleoptera; Coccinellidae.